Melospiza melodia melodia is the source of this 697-nucleotide long non-coding RNA. RefSeq lists it as uncharacterized. The transcript is spliced from 2 exons. Lineage: Eukaryota; Metazoa; Chordata; Aves; Passeriformes; Passerellidae. The record is from RefSeq and is a predicted model, not a curated record.
CCCUGCUGCUGCUGCUGCUCGCCGCCCGCCCCGGGGCCGCGCUGCCCGGGCAGGACGGGCCGGGGGAGCCCGCGGAGGGUCCCGAGGAGGCGGCGGGCAGCGCGGAUUUCCUGAGCCGGCAGCUGCAGAGCCUGAGCGAGCUGGUGAGCAGAGAGCUGCCCCCGCAGCUGCGGCCCCAGGAGCUGCGCGCACAGGCCGGGCUGUACCUGGAGCGCGCUAACAAACAGCUGGAGCCGCUGGCCCGGGAGCUGCAGAACAACGUGCUGGGGCUGUUCUCGUCCCUGCUGGGGCUGCGCCGGGCCGAGACCCCCGAGACCCCCUGAGAGCCCCGAGACCCCCGGGGAGACACCCCCGAGACCCCCCGAGACACCCGGGGGAUACCCCUGAGACCCCCUGAGAGCCCCGAGACCCCCGGGGAGACACCCCUGAGAGCCCCACAUGGACCUGGACUGAGCCCUGAGACCCCCAGGAUGGGCCUGGACACAGCCCCGAGACCCCCGCAUGGACCCCAAAACAGCCCAAAGACCCCCUGAGAGCCCCCCCACGGUUCCCAAAUACAGCCCUGAGACCCCCACACGAACCCCAAUAUGGCCCUGAGACCCCCACAUGGAUACCGAGACAGCCCUGAGACCCCCAGGAUGGGCCCAGACGCAGCCCUGAGAUCCCCCAAGACCCCCAAAUAAAGCCCUGAACAUCC